RNAcentral lists this ribosomal RNA (2160 nucleotides) under Campylobacter jejuni. RNAcentral's name for it is "partial 23S ribosomal RNA". It matches the Rfam family "Bacterial large subunit ribosomal RNA", at positions 821 to 2925 of the family's 2925-position model. Lineage: Bacteria; Pseudomonadati; Campylobacterota; Epsilonproteobacteria; Campylobacterales; Campylobacteraceae. The record is from RNAcentral.
GUGAAAGGCCAAUCAAACUUCGUGAUAGCUGGUUCUCUCCGAAAUAUAUUUAGGUAUAGCGUUGUGUCGUAAUAUAAGGGGGUAGAGCACUGAAUGGGCUAGGGCAUACACCAAUGUACCAAACCCUAUCAAACUCCGAAUACCUUAUAUGUAAUCACAGCAGUCAGGCGGCGAGUGAUAAAAUCCGUCGUCAAGAGGGAAACAACCCAGACUACCAGCUAAGGUCCCUAAAUCUUACUUAAGUGGAAAACGAUGUGAAGUUACUUAAACAACCAGGAGGUUGGCUUAGAAGCAGCCAUCCUUUAAAGAAAGCGUAAUAGCUCACUGGUCUAGUGAUUUUGCGCGGAAAAUAUAACGGGGCUAAAGUAAGUACCGAAGCUGUAGACUUGCACACAACUUAGAUUAUUUAAGUUUAGAAUAAGUAGUUUAAGUUGUGUGCAAGUGGUAGGAGAGCGUUCUAUUUGCGUCGAAGGUAUACCGGUAAGGAGUGCUGGAGCGAAUAGAAGUGAGCAUGCAGGCAUGAGUAGCGAUAAUUAAUGUGAGAAUCAUUAACGCCGUAAACCCAAGGUUUCCUACGCGAUGCUCGUCAUCGUAGGGUUAGUCGGGUCCUAAGUCGAGUCCGAAAGGGGUAGACGAUGGCAAAUUGGUUAAUAUUCCAAUACCAACAUUAGUGUGCGAUGGAAGGACGCUUAGGGCUAAGGGGGCUAGCGGAUGGAAGUGCUAGUCUAAGGUCGUAGGAGGUUAUACAGGCAAAUCCGUAUAACAAUACUCCGAGAACUGAAAGGCUUUUUGAAGUCUUCGGAUGGAUAGAAGAACCCCUGAUGCCGUCGAGCCAAGAAAAGUUUCUAAGUUUAGCUAAUGUUGCCCGUACCGUAAACCGACACAGGUGGGUGGGAUGAGUAUUCUAAGGCGCGUGGAAGAACUCUCUUUAAGGAACUCUGCAAAAUAGCACCGUAUCUUCGGUAUAAGGUGUGGUUAGCUUCGUACUAGGAUUUACUCCGAAAGCGAAGAAACUUACAACAAAGAGUCCCUCCCGACUGUUUACCAAAAACACAGCACUCUGCUAACUCGUAAGAGGAUGUAUAGGGUGUGACGCCUGCCCGGUGCUCGAAGGUUAAUUGAUGGGGUUAGCAUUAGCGAAGCUCUUGAUCGAAGCCCGAGUAAACGGCGGCCGUAACUAUAACGGUCCUAAGGUAGCGAAAUUCCUUGUCGGUUAAAUACCGACCUGCAUGAAUGGCGUAACGAGAUGGGAGCUGUCUCAAAGAGGGAUCCAGUGAAAUUGUAGUGGAGGUGAAAAUUCCUCCUACCCGCGGCAAGACGGAAAGACCCCGUGGACCUUUACUACAGCUUGACACUGCUACUUGGAUAAGAAUGUGCAGGAUAGGUGGGAGGCUUUGAGUAUAUGACGCCAGUUGUAUAUGAGCCAUUGUUGAGAUACCACUCUUUCUUAUUUGGGUAGCUAACCAGCUUGAGUUAUCCUCAAGUGGGACAAUGUCUGGUGGGUAGUUUGACUGGGGCGGUCGCCUCCCAAAUAAUAACGGAGGCUUACAAAGGUUGGCUCAGAACGGUUGGAAAUCGUUCGUAGAGUAUAAAGGUAUAAGCCAGCUUAACUGCAAGACAUACAAGUCAAGCAGAGACGAAAGUCGGUCUUAGUGAUCCGGUGGUUCUGUGUGGAAGGGCCAUCGCUCAAAGGAUAAAAGGUACCCCGGGGAUAACAGGCUGAUCUCCCCCAAGAGCUCACAUCGACGGGGAGGUUUGGCACCUCGAUGUCGGCUCAUCGCAUCCUGGGGCUGGAGCAGGUCCCAAGGGUAUGGCUGUUCGCCAUUUAAAGCGGUACGCGAGCUGGGUUCAGAACGUCGUGAGACAGUUCGGUCCCUAUCUGCCGUGGGCGUAAGAAGAUUGAAGAGAUUUGACCCUAGUACGAGAGGACCGGGUUGAACAAACCACUGGUGUAGCUGUUGUUCUGCCAAGAGCAUCGCAGCGUAGCUAAGUUUGGAAAGGAUAAACGCUGAAAGCAUCUAAGCGUGAAGCCAACUCUAAGAUGAAUCUUCUCUAAGCUCUCUAGAAGACUACUAGUUUGAUAGGCUGGGUGUGUAAUGGAUGAAAGUCCUUUAGCUGACCAGUACUAAUAGAGCGUUUGGCUUAUCUUUAAUAAAGCAU